GACGAACGCUGGCGGCGUGCCUAAUACAUGCAAGUUGAGCGAUGAAGCUUGGUGCUUGCACCAAUUUGAAGAGCAGCGAACGGGUGAGUAACGCGUGGGGAAUCUGCCUUUGAGCGGGGGACAACAUUUGGAAACGAAUGCUAAUACCGCAUAACAACUUUAAACAUAAGUUUUAAGUUUGAAAGAUGCAAUUGCAUCACUCAAAGAUGAUCCCGCGUUGUAUUAGCUAGUUGGUGAGGUAAAGGCUCACCAAGGCGAUGAUACAUAGCCGACCUGAGAGGGUGAUCGGCCCCAUUGGGACUGAGACACGGCCCAAACUCCUACGGGAGGCAGCAGUAGGGAAUCUUCGGCAAUGGCCGAAAGUCUGACCGAGCAACGCCGCGUGAGUGAAGAAGGUUUUCGGAUCGUAAAACUCUGUUGGUAGAGAAGAACGUUGGUGCGAGUGGAAAGCUCAUCAAGUGACGGUAACUACCCAGAAAGGGACGGCUAACUACGUG
RNAcentral lists this ribosomal RNA (497 nucleotides) under uncultured bacterium. RNAcentral's name for it is "partial 16S ribosomal RNA". It matches the Rfam family "Bacterial small subunit ribosomal RNA", at positions 28 to 507 of the family's 1533-position model. The record is from RNAcentral.